GCCGCCGGCAUCCUUCCCCUUCCUUCCACGGUUCCACCUAAUUCCGUAGAACGGCGGCCGCCAGGCAAACACCUGGUGCUCCUGGUUCCAUCCGAGGAAGAGAAAAAGGGCACGCACUCAGAUCUCCGACAACGCGUGGAUUGGAUCGGUGACUUUCCGUUGUCCAUAGCAGAGAAAAGAUGGUUAAUGCAAUCAAGUGGUUGUUCAUCUCCUGGUAAGCUCAUGAGAAAAGUAUUUUUUUUUUGAGGGGGUCUAUAAUCCGCACUAUUGCCAUUUCUUCUUCUCAGCGAUAUUCCAAUGGCACAGUUCAUUGUUAAUCUGAAUGCUUCAAUGCCUGCAUUGGAGAGGUUCAUCGUGCACAUGCUCGAUCCCACACACAUGUUUGUUCAUCCUCAUGUGGCUGAGAUGAUCAGAAGCAAGAUAGCAGAGUUCAGGAACCAGAACAGUUACGAGAAGCCUCAGUGAAGGAUCAUCCUACCCAGCAUUUCCUGUGUCACCCUCUGUGUAGAUAUAUUGGCUAAUAUCCAUGUAGAAUGCUAUGUUGUAGUAUGGAUGGAUGCCAUGCCUCCUGAUGAUCUAGAAAUGAUACUUGUUUUGCAUUACAAAAUAGUGACUUGUUCUGACUCCUUGGAGAGCCUUUUAUCUGCUGAUGCAUCAUGUGGUGCAUAUAAA
Molecule: long non-coding RNA, 672 nt
Organism: Setaria italica (foxtail millet)
Lineage: Eukaryota; Viridiplantae; Streptophyta; Magnoliopsida; Poales; Poaceae
Exons: 2
Source: RefSeq, a predicted model, not a curated record